RNAcentral lists this ribosomal RNA (207 nucleotides) under uncultured bacterium. RNAcentral's name for it is "partial 16S ribosomal RNA". It matches the Rfam family "Bacterial small subunit ribosomal RNA", at positions 568 to 774 of the family's 1533-position model. The record is from RNAcentral.
CUCGUAGGCGGUUCGUCGCGUCCGGUGUGAAAGUCCAUCGCUUAACGGUGGAUCCGCGCCGGGUACGGGCGGGCUUGAGUGCGGUAGGGGGGACUGGAAUUCCCGGUGUAACGGUGGAAUGUGUAGAUAUCGGGAAGAACACCAAUGGCGAAGGCAGGCCUCUGGGCCGUCACUGACGCUGAGGAGCGAAAGCGUGGGGAGCGAACA